This 496-nucleotide ribosomal RNA is filed under the name uncultured bacterium. RNAcentral describes it as "bacterial SSU rRNA". It matches the Rfam family "Bacterial small subunit ribosomal RNA", at positions 28 to 524 of the family's 1533-position model. The record is from RNAcentral.
GAUGAACGCUGGCGGCGUGCCUAACACAUGCAAGUCGAGCGAGAAACCAUCGAUUGAAACUUCGGUAGAUAUUGAAGGCGGAAAGCGGCGGACGGGUGAGUAACGCGUAGGCAACCUGCCCUUUGCAGAGGGAUAGCAACGGGAAACUGUUAUUAAAACCUCAUAAUACCGUAAUGUCAAAUGAUGAAACGGUCAAAGAUUUAUCGGCAAAGGAUGGGCCUGCGUCUGAUUAGUUAGUUGGUAGGGUAACGGCCUACCAAGGCAGCGAUCAGUAGCCGACCUGAGAGGGUGAUCGGCCACAUUGGAACUGAGACACGGUCCAAACUCCUACGGGAGGCAGCAGUGGGGAAUAUUGCACAAUGGGCGAAAGCCUGAUGCAGCAACGCCGCGUGAAGGAUGAAGGCCUUUGGGUCGUAAACUUCUGUCCUUGGGGAGAAAAAAUGACGGUACCCCUGGAGGAAGUCCCGGCUAACUACGUGCCAGCAGCCGCGGUAAU